GAUGCGGUGCAACAUCCUACAGGUCCUUAGAGCAUAGUUCUGUUGAGACGUAGUUUUCAAAGAUGUUCUAGGACCUCCAGAACUUCCACGAAUACAGGCCUGAAAAUCUACGAGCGUAAUCAAUUAUCUGUUGCUAUAUAACUGAUGCGGUGCAACAUCCUACAGAUACAUGGAGCAAGGUUCUAUAGAAAACUACAUUCCAAAGAUGUUCUAGGUCAUCUAAGAAUAUCCACGAGCAAAGAGUUUAAUAUCCACAAGCGUAAUCGAUGGAUUUUUGUUUUAUUACUGAUACGGUGUAACAUAGUUAUUUUCAAAGAAGAUCUAGUGCAUCUAAGAACUUCCGCUAGUAAAGGCCUCAAGAUCUAUAAGCAAAAUCAAUGGGUUAUUGUUACAUUACUGACGCGGUGUAAUAUCCUACACUGCCGUGAAUCGCAUAUCAGUCCCAUCUUUGCUGGUUUUCCUAUGCAAAUGGGACAAAUAUGCGAUUCACGGCAGUACAGGUCCUUGGCGCAUGGUUCUGUAAACGUGCUCUAGACCAUCCAAGGACUUCCGUAAGUAAAGGCCUGUAUCUACUAGCAUAAUCGUAACGUAAUAGAAUAUCUCCAUUCUAAAUGGCUUGCAGUUAAAAAAGCCCCAAAUCGUAUAUUUUACCCUAUAAAUACUGUAUUUUAACCAGUGCUGGAGCAAAUCUGAGUCGGGAUUUGGAUUCAGCGUCCCAAAAUCCGUCAGACACAAAAGUUUGCUCUUGAGACUCACCAAUAGUUAUGUUUUGUUUCGCUGUGUUAUCACAAGUGUAGGCAUGAAGCUAUGGUCUCCGGAGUAGUUUAAUUGAUGGUUUGGAAUAUCUCAAAAGUAUCUUGGUUGGAAUGACUAGUGAAAUAUCAAGGGGGAUUACAGAUAAUAGUUUGAUCUGUAAUGUCACAAUUCAUUGUAAGAAUAACUACUGUUACUGACCCUAUAUGUCCCAAAGGUAUAUAAUAAUAUCUACACGCAGAAAAAUAUUGCUUAGUAGAACUUAAAAAUCCGAUGUUUUGAAUCAACCUUUUUAGUGUACUUUGAAUUAACCCACCCAUAUUUUUGCUUCAAUGCAGCUUUAUUGUUGAAACAAUAAAAUUUCGAAUAGAAUAAAACAUCGCAUCUCCGAUCGAAUAUCAACUGAUUAAAUUUGUUGUUUCAAUAAAGCAGUUUUAAUAGAUUCAACAAUGUUGAAUAGUUUAACUACAACUGUCAUCAAUUUGUCUACAAUGCAAGUUCGGAGCUUCUGGGAGUUUACUCUUUUAGAUCUUGUGAUUUAAAGUGAGACUUUUAUCAAAAUAUCAGAACUUUUUAGGGUAAGUUUAUCAUGCUUUUCUAAAAAUGUAUAAUUUACAUAAAUGAAUAUUUUAGCAAAACAUUUAGGCAUCAAUCAAAGCUGGUAAAACUACAUCUCUGCUAUCCUGGGUGGAACGAAUCAAUUUUAUCAUCAUGACUGAAGCAGCAGGUUGCUUCCAAUCCAGAAUAAAUCGAAAUGGUAAAGAUCGGAAUAAACUGGUUCCUCGUCAAGUUUGUUGGAACGGAUGUCAUAGCCUUCAUAAUUACGUGUUACAUAUUAGCGAAUAUAAAGAAAAUAAAUCGUAAACAUGACAAUUUU
Aedes albopictus (Asian tiger mosquito) is the source of this 1630-nucleotide long non-coding RNA. RefSeq lists it as uncharacterized. The transcript is spliced from 2 exons. The record is from RefSeq and is a predicted model, not a curated record. Lineage: Eukaryota; Metazoa; Arthropoda; Insecta; Diptera; Culicidae.